UAGCGAAAUCAGGAAUUGAACCCAAUCUAAAAGUUCAUGAGACUUUUGUGCUACCAUUACACUAUUUCGCU
This 71-nucleotide transfer RNA is filed under the name Collybia sordida. Its description in RNAcentral is "Lepista sordida tRNA-Met". The record is from RNAcentral. Lineage: Eukaryota; Fungi; Basidiomycota; Agaricomycetes; Agaricales; Clitocybaceae.